This is a long non-coding RNA of Cynocephalus volans (Philippine flying lemur), 440 nucleotides long. RefSeq lists it as uncharacterized. Lineage: Eukaryota; Metazoa; Chordata; Mammalia; Dermoptera; Cynocephalidae. The record is from RefSeq and is a predicted model, not a curated record. The transcript is spliced from 3 exons.
UCACGUAUCCUUAGGAUCCUCUUGGCUGUGACAGUUUCACAGACUUUCCUGUUUUUUCAUGACCUUGAGAGUUUGAAGGAGUCUUGGAGAUAAACCACAGUGGUGAACUGCUGUUGUCAUCAUAUCACAUCAAGGGCCCAGAUUAACAACAUGAUUUAUCACUCUUGAUGUUUACCUUCAAUAAUUUGCCAAGGACUUCCAGUAUGAUAUUGAACAGGACUGGUGAAGAAGUGAUGCCUUUUCCUCAGUCUUUCAAAGAAAGCAUACAGUUUUUCACCAUUGGGUAUGAUGUUGUCUGUAGGUUUUUGACAUCAAAUAAUAUUUCUAGUUUGCUGGCAGUGUUUGUUAUAAACAUGUGUUGGGUUUUGUCAAAUGCUUUUUUCACAUUAAUUGAUAUGAUUACAUGAUAUUUUUCUUCUUUUGACUAUUGAUGUGGUAGG